GGAGUUCUUGAACAUAUUUUUAUUAAUGCUACUAUAGAUUUCCAUCACAUGCAAUAAUGAAUGAAUGAGUGGUAGGAAACACAAAAAUAUCCUUUACACAUUAAGUAUAUUAAUUGGAAAAAACAUUUGGAUAAUUAUUGAAAUCCAAAUUCAUUUUUAAUUUCUCUUAAAUAAUGGAGUUAAUUCAGCUUGCUACAUCUGCAGCAGCCACGUUAUAAGAUUAAAAGUGAAAGGAAAAAAAUAAAACAUGAAACAAAAGAAUUCACAUGAAAAUGCACAAUAAGGUCAAGUUCCUCUUCACAGCACAAGAGAACGAUGAGACAUUUUCAUACCUGAAACACAUCUGCUUCGUUCUUUAAUAAACUGAUCUCCAUCUGCUCAUGCCCUUGGAAAUCUUUCAGCAGUACAACCCGCUGUGCUCAAGUCCCGUAUAACUUUGUAUUUCUCUGCUCAUAAUUAACUAAUUAUUCUCUAAUCAAUAGUGUAGAUCUUGAUUUUACAACAUAAAUUAGGUAAAUGACAGAAUGGCUGGGGGUCAAUCUCAUUUUAUUUACAAAGCCCAGCAUGAGCAUCCAACUUCAUUGUAUCUUAUGUACCUGAACAGCAAUGAAUCUUAUUAGCAGACCUACAGAAAGUCUUAAGACUGAGUACUGGGAGAAAGAGGCCUACAUG
This 672-nucleotide long non-coding RNA is filed under the name Bos taurus (domestic cattle). RNAcentral's name for it is "long non-coding RNA NONBTAT019292". The record is from RNAcentral. Lineage: Eukaryota; Metazoa; Chordata; Mammalia; Artiodactyla; Bovidae.